RNAcentral lists this ribosomal RNA (421 nucleotides) under uncultured Geobacter sp. Its description in RNAcentral is "partial 16S ribosomal RNA". It matches the Rfam family "Bacterial small subunit ribosomal RNA", at positions 75 to 475 of the family's 1533-position model. RNAcentral also lists the same sequence under 1 other name. The record is from RNAcentral. Lineage: Bacteria; Pseudomonadati; Thermodesulfobacteriota; Desulfuromonadia; Geobacterales; Geobacteraceae.
AGAGCUUGCUCUCAUGAAARUGGCGCACGGGUGAGUAACACGUGGAUAAUCUGCCUGGCGAUUCGGGAUAACACUUCGAAAGGGGUGCUAAUACCGGAUAAGCCCRCGGUCUCUUMGGAGRGSGCGGGAAAAGGGGGCCUCUGUAUAUGCUCCUGUCGCUAGAUGAGUCCGCGGCCCAUUAGCUAGUUGGUAGGGUAAUGGCCUACCAAGGCUACGAUGGGUAGCUGGUCUGAGAGGAUGAUCAGCYMYWMWGGRRSKGAGACACGGUCCAGACUCCUACGGGRGGCAGCAGUGGGGAAUUUUGCGCAAUGGGCGAAAGCCUGACGCAGCAACGCCGCGUGAGUGAUGAAGGCCUUCGGGUCGUAAAGCUCUGUCAGAGGGGAAGAACCGCCGGGUGGCUAAUACCUGCCUGGUCUGACGG